CCAGACUCCUACGGGAGGCAGCAGUGAGGAAUAUUGGACAAUGGUCGGAAGACUGAUCCAGCCAUGCCGCGUGCAGGAUGAAGGUCCUAUGGAUUGUAAACUGCUUUUGUAAGGGAAGAAUAAGGGGUACGUGUACUUUGAUGACGGUACCUUACGAAUAAGCAUCGGCUAACUCCGUGCCAGCAGCCGCGGUAAUACGGAGGAUGCGAGCGUUAUCCGGAAUCAUUGGGUUUAAAGGGUCCGUAGGCGGGCUGAUAAGUCAGAGGUGAAAUCGUUCAGCUCAACUGAGCAACUGCCUUUGAAACUGUCAGUCUUGAAUGAUUGUGAAGUAGUUGGAAUGUGUAGUGUAGCGGUGAAAUGCUUAGAUAUUACACAGAACACCGAUAGCGAAGGCAUAUUACUAACAAUUUAUUGACGCUGAUGGACGAAAGCGUGGGGAGCGAACAGGAUUAGAUACCCUGGUAGUCCACGCUGUAAACGAUGGAUACUAGCUGUUUGGAGUAAUCUGAGUGGCUAAGCGAAAGUGAUAAGUAUCCCACCUGGGGAGUACGCACGCAAGUGUGAAACUCAAAGGAAUUGACGGGGGCCCGCACAAG
Molecule: ribosomal RNA, 596 nt
Filed under: uncultured bacterium
Lineage: Bacteria
Description: bacterial SSU rRNA
Rfam family: Bacterial small subunit ribosomal RNA
Source: RNAcentral